RNAcentral lists this ribosomal RNA (253 nucleotides) under uncultured bacterium. Its description in RNAcentral is "partial 16S ribosomal RNA". It matches the Rfam family "Bacterial small subunit ribosomal RNA", at positions 524 to 776 of the family's 1533-position model. The record is from RNAcentral.
UACGUAGGGUGCAAGCGUUAUCCGGAAUUAUUGGGCGUAAAGAGCUCGUAGGCGGUUUGUCGCGUCUGCUGUGAAAACUGGGGGCUCAACCCCCAGCCUGCAGUGGGUACGGGCAGACUAGAGUGCGGUAGGGGAGAUUGGAAUUCCUGGUGUAGCGGUGGAAUGCGCAGAUAUCAGGAGGAACACCGAUGGCGAAGGCGGGUCUCUGGGCCGGUACCGACGCUGAGGCGCGAAAGCUAGGGGAGCAAACAGG